Molecule: transfer RNA, 100 nt
Filed under: Candidatus Methanoplasma termitum
Lineage: Archaea; Methanobacteriati; Thermoplasmatota; Thermoplasmata; Methanomassiliicoccales; Methanomassiliicoccaceae
Rfam family: tRNA
About the family: Transfer RNA (tRNA) molecules are approximately 80 nucleotides in length. Their secondary structure includes four short double-helical elements and three loops (D, anti-codon, and T loops).
Source: Rfam by way of RNAcentral
GCGAGGGUAGCCGAGUUGGCCAAAGGCGCAGGACUUAAGACUCCAAAGGGAAGAAAUUCUGUCCCGCAGGGGUUCAGGGGUUCGAAUCCCCUCCCUCGCA